This is a long non-coding RNA of Gasterosteus aculeatus aculeatus (three-spined stickleback), 561 nucleotides long. Lineage: Eukaryota; Metazoa; Chordata; Actinopteri; Perciformes; Gasterosteidae. The record is from Ensembl.
AGGAGAGCAGGUGACAGCGGCGGAGUGAAAAUGAUGAGCGACCGCUACAGUGCCACGGCCUCCAUUCCAACUUUGACAGACACAGUGGGCCGGGGAGAAGGAUGAUCCAAGGACAGGGUUAAAAAAAAACAGAAGGCCCGGAUCUCUUUGUCUCCCAGUAAUAUUGCCGAGUGGAUUCAAACAGCCCCGUGAAGCUGAGCCGAGCCGGGCCCCGAGCUGUGAUCGCGCCGUGAUAACUACCAGAUGGAUCAAUACAAGUGUUGUAAAGGUAAGGUUGAGGCCGAGGCCCCGCGGCGAUCCCAAGAGGAGGGUCAAGUGUUGAAGAAUUGCCGCACUCAGCCAGUAAACCGCCGUCCUCGUCACGGUGGUUUUCUCUUAGUGGCAGCUUAAGGGUGCAAAUACAACUUGAACCGCAUCAUAAUCAAAACAAGCAUGUUAUACAUCUAUUGGGCUUUUGGGGCUUGUUUAGUCCAUGUGAGUGAAUCGUAAACUAUAGAUAUAUGUACACAGUAGGAACAAUAGUCCAUUAAAAGCUUUGGUAUUCCACAAGUGGCCUUUUAG